AGUAAAUGUUGGAAUUUUAACAAGAGUGGUUAAAAUUUUCUGCCAUCAGUUAGCUAUCCGAUAUCACCCGAUGGUUAUACCAGACAGAAAAGAAUACGACAUCAGUCACGACUUCAAUACGAUUAUCCCGGUUAAUUUGUCACCUUGAUGCAAUAGUUCAGAAGAGUGGAAAACGCUAUAAAAGUAUUAUUAAAAUCAAUGAAAUUACAGCAGAUGAACUAAACUAGAUAUCAAUUGAAAACUAGAAGUUACAAAAUUAAACAACUUGGCAAUAUCAAAUAUGGUUUACGAAAACGAUAUUAUGAGUUAUGAUUUUAUAAUAUAAUUUUCUCUAUCGCGGAAAAUCCUGAGUCCAAUUAUUAUAGGUAGCUUUAUAAUUUAAUUAAACUGUAAAUAUUUAAUUUAAUUUAAUUUUAAACAUGUUUAACCCCAAAGCACAUGCAUCCUUAACUUAAGAAUACAUUGUAUAUGGUUAUGGUUUUUGGCAACUUUUUUCCAUGGCCAUUAGGAUAAAUUAAUUGCAUUUUUUGUAUUAUAAUAUGAAACUAAUAAAACUAUUUUUUCUCAAAAAAAACUUGUUAAAUGCACCAUCACAUUAUUUGUGCCACACUAAUAAUAAAACGUAGAAAUAAGCCAACUUUGAAAUGUAAUUUUUUUUUUUUAAUAUAUACCAUACAACACCUAUUUACUAACAAGUAAUUACCUAAUAAUUGUUCGGCUCUUUUUUUAUAUUUUUUGUGUGUGUCACUCCGCCUAUUUUAUAUCCGAAUUAACACGGACCCAGGUAACAAGUGUAAAACCUUUAUAUACAUACUGCUUUUUAUUCAUUUUAAUAUUUUAAUCGAUAACUUAGUUCUUACUCGUCGUUAAAUUUGUAUAAUAAAUAACAUUGUACGUUGCAAUUUGAGAGUUUAGUUACUUGAUUUUAAGGUACGA
This is a long non-coding RNA of Adelges cooleyi (spruce gall adelgid), 936 nucleotides long. RefSeq lists it as uncharacterized. The record is from RefSeq and is a predicted model, not a curated record. NCBI's taxonomy places the organism in Eukaryota, Metazoa, Arthropoda, Insecta, Hemiptera, Adelgidae. The transcript is spliced from 4 exons.